RNAcentral lists this ribosomal RNA (252 nucleotides) under uncultured bacterium. RNAcentral's name for it is "partial 16S ribosomal RNA". It matches the Rfam family "Bacterial small subunit ribosomal RNA", at positions 524 to 776 of the family's 1533-position model. The record is from RNAcentral.
UACGUAGGGCGCAAGCGUUAUCCGGAAUUAUUGGGCGUAAAGAGCUCGUAGGCGGUUUGUCGCGUCUGCCGUGAAAGUCCGGGCUUAACCCCGGAUCUGCGGUGGGUACGGGCAGACUAGAGUGAUGUAGGGGAGACUGGAAUUCCUGGUGUAGCGGUGAAAUGCGCAGAUAUCAGGAGGAACACCGAUGGCGAAGGCAGGUCUCUGGGCAUUAACUGACGCUGAGGAGCGAAAGCAUGGGGAGCGAACAGG